This 24-nucleotide non-coding RNA is filed under the name Arabidopsis thaliana (thale cress). The record is from RNAcentral. Lineage: Eukaryota; Viridiplantae; Streptophyta; Magnoliopsida; Brassicales; Brassicaceae.
CAGACCUGGUAAAAAUGGUGUCUU